AUUGAACGCUGGCGGCAGGCUUAACACAUGCAAGUCGAGCGGGGUGAUGGUGCUUGCACUAUCACUUAGCGGCGGGCGGGUGAGUAAUGCUUAGGAAUCUGCCUAUUAGUGGGGGACAACAUCUCGAAAGGGAUGCUAAUACCGCAUACGCCCUACGGGGGAAAGCAGGGGAUCACUUGUGACCUUGCGCUAAUAGAUGAGCCUAAGUCGGAUUAGCUAGUUGGUGGGGUAAAGACCUACCAAGGCGACGAUCUGUAGCGGGUCUGAGAGGAUGAUCCGCCACACUGGGACUGAGACACGGCCCAGACUCCUACGGGAGGCAGCAGUGGGGAAUAUUGGACAAUGGGGGGAACCCUGAUCCAGCCAUGCCGCGUGUGUGAAGAAGGCCUUAUGGUUGUAAAGCACUUUAAGCGAGGAGGAGGCUCUUUUGGUUAAUACCCAAGACGAGUGGACGUUACUCGCAGAAUAAGCACCGGCUAACUCUGUGCCAGCAGCCGCGGUAA
RNAcentral lists this ribosomal RNA (503 nucleotides) under uncultured bacterium. RNAcentral's name for it is "partial 16S ribosomal RNA". It matches the Rfam family "Bacterial small subunit ribosomal RNA", at positions 30 to 523 of the family's 1533-position model. The record is from RNAcentral.